ACUACGAGUUUGAUCCUGGCUCAGGAUGAACGCUAGCGGCAGGCCUAAUACAUGCAAGUCGAACGGAUAUAUGUUUUCGGAAUAUAUAUUAGUGGCGCACGGGUGAGUAACACGUACAUAACUUGCCCUCAAGGCGGGGGAUAGCCUUAGGGAAACUGAGAGUAACUACCCCAUAGAAUUAUUGGACGGCAUCGUUUGAUAAUUAAAACGUACGGUGGUUUGGGGAUAGAUGUGCGUCUGAUUAGCUAGUUGGUGAGGUAACUGCUCACCAAGGCGACGAUCAGUAGGGGGGCGUGAGAGCGUGGCCCCCCCACACGGGUACUGAGACACGGACCCGACUCCUACGGGAGGCAGCAGUAAGGAAUAUUGGUCAAUGGAGGGAACUCUGAACCAGCCAUGCCGCGUGAAGGAUGACGGCCCUCUGGGUUGUAAACUUCUUUUGGAUGGGGCGAAAAAACGGGAUUUAUCCUGGACUGACGGUACCAUCAGAAUAAGCACCGGCUAACUCCGUG
RNAcentral lists this ribosomal RNA (512 nucleotides) under uncultured bacterium. RNAcentral's name for it is "bacterial SSU rRNA". It matches the Rfam family "Bacterial small subunit ribosomal RNA", at positions 1 to 507 of the family's 1533-position model. The record is from RNAcentral.